Molecule: ribosomal RNA, 429 nt
Filed under: Acidobacteriota bacterium
Lineage: Bacteria; Pseudomonadati; Acidobacteriota
Also listed under: 2 other names
Description: Acidobacteria bacterium partial 16S ribosomal RNA
Rfam family: Bacterial small subunit ribosomal RNA
Source: RNAcentral
UAGGGAAUCUUCGGCAAUGGACGAAAGUCUGACCGAGCAACGCCGCGUGAGUGAAGAAGGUUUUCGGAUCGUAAAACUCUGUUGUUAGAGAAGAACAAGGACGUUAGUAACUGAACGUCCCCUGACGGUAUCUAACCAGAAAGCCACGGCUAACUACGUGCCAGCAGCCGCGGUAAUACGUAGGUGGCAAGCGUUGUCCGGAUUUAUUGGGCGUAAAGCGAGCGCAGGCGGUUUCUUAAGUCUGAUGUGAAAGCCCCCGGCUCAACCGGGGAGGGUCAUUGGAAACUGGGAGACUUGAGUGCAGAAGAGGGGAGUGGAAUUCCAUGUGUAGCGGUGAAAUGCGUAGAUAUAUGGAGGAACACCAGUGGCGAAGGCGGCUCUCUGGUCUGUAACUGACGCUGAGGCUCGAAAGCGUGGGGAGCAAACAGG